RNAcentral lists this ribosomal RNA (422 nucleotides) under uncultured bacterium. RNAcentral describes it as "partial 16S ribosomal RNA". It matches the Rfam family "Bacterial small subunit ribosomal RNA", at positions 360 to 774 of the family's 1533-position model. The record is from RNAcentral.
AAUUUUGGACAAUGGGGGCAACCCUGAUCCAGCCAUCCCGCGUGUGCGAUGAAGGCCUUCGGGUUGUAAAGCACUUUUGGCAGGGAAGAAAAGGCUCUGGUGAAUACCCGGAGCUGCUGACGGUACCUGCAGAAUAAGCACCGGCCAACUACGUGCCCGCAGCCGCGGUAAUCCGUAGGAUGCAAGCGUUAAUCGGAAUUACUGGGACUAAAGCGUGCGCAGGCGGUUUGGCAAGAAGGAUGUGAAAUCCCGGGGCUUAACCUCGGAACUGCAUUCAUAACUGCCAGGCUAGAGUAUGUCGGAGGGGGGUAGAAUUCCGCGUGUAGCAGUGAAAUGCGUAGAGAUGCGGAGGAAUACCGAUGGCGAAGGCAGCCCCCUGGGAUAAUACUGACGCUCAUGCACGAAAGCGAGGGGAGCAAACA